UGCCAAAAGGAAUUGGGUGCAAAAUGG
Molecule: small RNA, 27 nt
Filed under: Bombyx mori (domestic silkworm)
Lineage: Eukaryota; Metazoa; Arthropoda; Insecta; Lepidoptera; Bombycidae
Description: ovarian small RNA-33635
Source: RNAcentral